GAAAAUCGAUUUCUAAAUUUUUUAUGAGCAUUUCUUUUGUUUCAAUUGUUAUACACGCCCCAAAUAGCCCUUUGCAACUUGAAGUUGAUAGUUGUAAAGAAAAAUUCGAGGCGAAGUUAUUCAGAUUUGCACUUUCCAGGGAUAUCAAGCAAUCUCUUUAUUGAUACUUUUGCAGCUACAGAAUGAUUUAUGGGUGAAGGAUGUUCUAGUUCCUGCAAUAAUGGUGAAUUUUCAAAUUAUUGCAAGAUUUCAUGCUUCGAGCUUCGGUAACAUGGCAAGACAGAUAAUAAAGUAGAUAAAACAUUUUGAUUACAAACUGGGUUCCUCUAAACUGACAUGCUUUAGAUUUCCUAUUGCAUAUGUUGAACACAUUUUGCUUUCCUUGCAUUUUUCAUAGCUUGUUUGGAAUGUCGCAGGUUAUCGUACUCUAUUUAUAAUUUACAUGACAAUUUUGUUUUCUCAA
Molecule: long non-coding RNA, 463 nt
Organism: Olea europaea var. sylvestris
Lineage: Eukaryota; Viridiplantae; Streptophyta; Magnoliopsida; Lamiales; Oleaceae
Exons: 2
Source: RefSeq, a predicted model, not a curated record